GAGGAGGAGGAAAAAUAUGUAUGAAUAUUCAUCUAGCAUGGCUAAUUUGCAUAUUUUAGGCUCAGGGACUAAAUUGAAUAAAAGUAAAACUUUAUGGGCAAUUUUGUAAACAUGUCAGAAAUGACCAAAUUGCAUGAAAUGGAUUAUUUUAUUAUUUAAAUUACAAAAUUUAAUGAAAUUAUUAAUUUAGUUCAAGAUCGG
Molecule: long non-coding RNA, 201 nt
Filed under: Gossypium barbadense (sea-island cotton)
Lineage: Eukaryota; Viridiplantae; Streptophyta; Magnoliopsida; Malvales; Malvaceae
Description: long non-coding RNA (GBAR_LNC003326)
Source: RNAcentral